This 497-nucleotide ribosomal RNA is filed under the name uncultured bacterium. RNAcentral describes it as "partial 16S ribosomal RNA". It matches the Rfam family "Bacterial small subunit ribosomal RNA", at positions 28 to 507 of the family's 1533-position model. The record is from RNAcentral.
GAUGAACGCUGGCGGCGUGCCUAAUACAUGCAAGUCGAGCGAACGGACGAGAAGCUUGCUUCUCUGAUGUUAGCGGCGGACGGGUGAGUAACACGUGGAUAACCUACCUAUAAGACUGGGAUAACUUCGGGAAACCGGAGCUAAUACCGGAUAAUAUUUUGAACCGCAUGGUUCAAAAGUGAAAGACGGUCUUGCUGUCACUUAUAGAUGGAUCCGCGCUGCAUUAGCUAGUUGGUAAGGUAACGGCUUACCAAGGCAACGAUGCAUAGCCGACCUGAGAGGGUGAUCGGCCACACUGGAACUGAGACACGGUCAAGACUCCUACGGGAGGCAGCAGUAGGGAAUCUUCGGCAAUGGGCGAAAGCCUGACGGAGCAACGCCGCGUGAGGGAUGAAGGUCUUCGGAUCGUAAAACUCUGUUAUUAGGGAAGAACAUAUGUGUAAGUAACUGUGCACAUCUUGACGGUACCUAAUCAGAAAGCCACGGCUAACUACGUG